This 155-nucleotide ribosomal RNA is filed under the name uncultured bacterium. Its description in RNAcentral is "partial 16S ribosomal RNA". It matches the Rfam family "Bacterial small subunit ribosomal RNA", at positions 355 to 507 of the family's 1533-position model. The record is from RNAcentral.
UGAGGAAUAUUGGUCAAUGGACGCAAGUCUGAACCAGCCAUGCCGCGUGAAGGAUGAAGGCGUUCUGCGUUGUAAACUUCUUUUAUCUGGGAAGAAACCUUCUUUUUCUAAGGAAGCCGACGGUACCAGAGGAAUAAGCACCGGCUAACUCCGUG